RNAcentral lists this transfer RNA (83 nucleotides) under bacterium. RNAcentral's name for it is "tRNA-Tyr". It matches the Rfam family "tRNA". From Rfam's summary of the family: Transfer RNA (tRNA) molecules are approximately 80 nucleotides in length. The record is from RNAcentral.
UGGGAAGUUGAGCAAUUGGUUGGCUCAGCAGACUGUAAAUCUGCCGUCUUUCGACCUUGGGGGUUCGAGUCCCUCCUUCCCAA